This 253-nucleotide ribosomal RNA is filed under the name uncultured prokaryote. Its description in RNAcentral is "partial 16S ribosomal RNA". It matches the Rfam family "Bacterial small subunit ribosomal RNA", at positions 524 to 776 of the family's 1533-position model. The record is from RNAcentral.
UACGGAGGGGGCUAGCGUUGUUCGGAAUUACUGGGCGUAAAGCGCGCGUAGGCGGUUAGCACAGUCAGGUGUGAAAGCCCCGGGCUCAACCCGGGAAUUGCACUUGAUACUGGUUGACUGGAGUUCGGAAGAGGAGAGUGGAAUUCCCAGUGUAGAGGUGAAAUUCGUAGAUAUUGGGAAGAACACCAGUGGCGAAGGCGGCUCUCUGGUCCGAUACUGACGCUGAGGCGCGAAAGCGUGGGGAGCAAACAGG